Nematostella vectensis (starlet sea anemone) is the source of this 86-nucleotide non-coding RNA. The record is from Rfam. Lineage: Eukaryota; Metazoa; Cnidaria; Anthozoa; Actiniaria; Edwardsiidae.
CCUUCGAUAGCUCAAUUGGUAGAGCGGGGGACUGUAGAUUUAUAAUUGUGAUCCCUAGGUCGCUGGUUCGAAUCCGGCUAGAAGAA